Molecule: ribosomal RNA, 499 nt
Filed under: uncultured bacterium
Lineage: Bacteria
Description: partial 16S ribosomal RNA
Rfam family: Bacterial small subunit ribosomal RNA
Source: RNAcentral
ACUCAAAGGAAUAGACGGGGGCCCGCACAAGCGGUGGAGCAUGUGGUUCAAUUCGACGCAACGCGAAGAACCUUACCUGGGCUCGAACGGCUUUGGAUCGACGGUGGAAACACUGUUUUCCCGCAAGGGACCGGAGUCGAGGUGCUGCAUGGCUGUCGUCAGCUCGUGUCGUGAGAUGUUGGGUUAAGUCCCGCAACGAGCGCAACCCUUGUCCUGUGUUGCCACUCCGUAAGGAAGCACUCUCAGGAGACCGCCAGCGAUAAGUUGGAGGAAGGUGGGGAUGAUGUCAAGUCAUCAUGGCCUUUAUGUCCAGGGCUACACACGUGCUACAAUGGUCGGUACAAAGCGCUGCAAACCCGCGAGGGGGAGCCAAUCGCAAAAAGCCGGCCUCAGUUCGGAUUGCAGGCUGCAACUCGCCUGCAUGAAGCUGGAAUCGCUAGUAAUGCCGUAUCAGAAUGAUGGCGUGAAUACGUUCCCGGGCCUUGUACACACCGCCCGU